RNAcentral lists this long non-coding RNA (1590 nucleotides) under Mytilus galloprovincialis (Mediterranean mussel). Lineage: Eukaryota; Metazoa; Mollusca; Bivalvia; Mytilida; Mytilidae. The record is from RNAcentral.
UCUUUCGUCUUUUCACAAUUUCAUGCAUACUUAUAAUUUAUACAAUUUUACAUUAUAUAUAAAGUUAUACAUAGUAAAUAUUUUGUUUUUCUUUUCACUACUCGUAUAUAAUCUUUGUUUUUGAUAUUCGCUUGAAUUAAUUCUAUUAGAUCAACUAUUGUUCAUUGCGUUUAAUAUUACUCACAAGCUUGCAGUUGUAAAAUCUAGUCUGAAUCUUUCAAUUAUGCUUUAUUUUCCUCGUUAUUUUCACUCUUGAAUCGAAUUAUUAAUGCCAUCUUUUAUCUGAACAUACUAUCCGUCUUCUCAAAAAUCAUUAGCUUUCGAUACUCGCAUCUGUUUAAUGCUUUCGAGUUGGUAUUACCGCGUGUUAUAAAAUGUUGACCGGCGGGUUCUUUGUGAUUUUGACAAAUUUAUCAUUUUAAUCGGACUUCAUUCCAGACACCUUGACGCCAAAGUUCACAGCCCUUAAUUUUGGAAUUAAACACGGAACUAUUUCAACUUUUUCAAAAUAAAUUUUACUCAGAUUUCUUAUUUUCUUCUACUAGAAGUAAUGUUUUGACAAUGAGCUAUAUGCAAGAAACUUGAAAAAACCAAAUAUGCCCCAUAAAUGUAGAAAUUAAAAAACAACAACAUCACAUCACCAUAUUGUGUAAUUCGGAGGGUUAAGAUGAAUUCUAUUUGAAUAUAAUAUGUACCCAACUAAAAAACCAACGGAAGACUAUUUUAAUAGAAUAUUUAUUUUUUUCUAACUUCUUUUUCUCUUUUUAUUUUGAGUUAAUCUAAAUUUGGAGUAAUGAGUAAUGACUAAGAUGUAUGUAAAAUACGUAUUUUAGGUUUGAACAAGAUGUUUGUUACCAAUCGGUCUUAAAAACAAGACGUAUAUAGUUAUACUAAUCACUUACUUUUUUAUAAAUUUUCUACUCAAUUACGGUACAUUUUUUAGUUGAAUGUGUAAUAAGGGAGAUAGCCUGUAAAUUCUUUGAAAUAACCAUGAUAUACACUGAUAUACGUAUAGAUAUAACAUGAACUUAAUUCUAAUUUACUCAGCAUUGGUAUCAGUUCUGUUCAUGUGUUGUUUUAAAAUUUCGCUCCAUUUUAUAUUUUACAAACAGAUGUAUAUGUUCAUUUUGUAAUUGUUGUUAUUAAUGAUAGUCCAAAUGUCUGGACUUUAUUUUAAUAAAACUUGCUUUAAGACUUUCUUAUUGAUUAUUACAAUUUGAUUGUGAUCACCGAGAUAUGAGGCUUAAUGAAAUAGACAGUCCCCGUCCGUCGAACCACACCUACAACUCUAAAGGUUUACAACCUUAGUGAGUAAUAUACCCAGCCAUUCCUCAACAACUAACCAAGGUUCAACUGCAAGGUCAGGUCAGGCGCCAAGAACGUACGCAUCUUACUUGAAUGCAUAGAACGAUUUCUUUGAGAGGAUCCUAGUGUGUUGGUUUAUUUAGGGUUAUCAUGUUUGUUCUUCUUUUUACCAGAUUUGCAAUCGGUGCCUGCGUUCGCUCUUGGUGCCUUUGUGACUACCUUUCAAACAGUAAUCCUGGGAAUUGACCACCUUCUGAUGUUGUUAAAUUCAAACCUAAUUCGUCA